RNAcentral lists this long non-coding RNA (3110 nucleotides) under Sus scrofa (pig). Its description in RNAcentral is "lncRNA (ENSSSCG00040025141.1)". Lineage: Eukaryota; Metazoa; Chordata; Mammalia; Artiodactyla; Suidae. The record is from RNAcentral.
GCCGUACCCACAGCAUAUGGAGGUUCCCAGGCUAGGGGUCAAAUCGGAGCUACAGCUGCCUGCCUACGCCACAGCCACAGCAAUGCCAGAUCCGAGCCUUGUCUGCUCCUUACACCACAGCUCAUGGCAACAGAGGCCAGGGAUUGAACGCACAUCCUAAUGGAUCCUAGUUGGAUUCAUUUCUGCUGUGCCACAAUGGGAACUCCCCUUCCUUUUUCCAACGGUUGAGUGUCUCCUGGGAUAUGCAUGCUCUGUUCCAUUUCUUUCUUUUUUUAAACAGACCCAGAGUCCCAGAAGAAGUUAGAUGUUGUGCUUACAAACUGCAUACACAUGGGCAUCAUGGAAGUGCAAAACUCCAAUAAAGAAAUAAGCACAUGGUUUCUUAGUUCAUUUUUUAUGUUAAUGAUGAAAGUGCAGGUAAGAAAAUAAGAACUAGCCUUAAGGACAUAUAAGUGAUGGAAAGAGAAGGAAAAUUCUAGGUGGAGCCCAGAGAAGUUAUCAUUCUCUUCCUAUCAACAUUGGGUGGAUGUGCAGGCCCCUUGCUUUAUAGCAGCAGAACAAAAUAAAAUGACUGAUGAUCAAAGAAACUCACAGAUGCCUACAGAAUUAAAUUAUCAACCCACUUUGACAUUUUGCAAGUAUAAAUAGAAACAGAAAUAACUAGAGGUGUAGAAAUAGUUGAAGAAGCCCCUCAACAUUAAAUUCUAAACUUCAAAUUUGAAACACCUAGAGAUUGGGGUUUCUCUGUAAUCUAUAAAUCAGCCUUAAUUCAAAGAAAUAGCCAGGCUGGCAUGGGGGAGCAACUUUAGAUCUGGCCAGCACAGGACCUGGGGAGGCUCAGUAGAGACCCACUAUCUGUUAAUAAGGAAGAAGACCCAAAACAGAGCCAGGACAAAUAAUUCUGUCAUUUUACUGUCAAAAGUGUCCAACCAUUCUUUAUUGUGAAAAGGAUACAUAAUUAAGCUGUAUCUUUAUAUUAUUAUUUUUUUUUUUACUAUUUGGCAUAUUAUUCAUUCCCAGUGAUGUUUCAUUUCUCCUCAAAUGAUUCUUUUGCAACCUUUAGAAAGCCCUGCAAUUUCCUUUUCAUUUGGCCGAACGUGGCAGACACAGGAGGGAGAGCUUCUAAAUCCUGUUGCUCAGAAUAUGGCUUUUUUUUUUUUUUUUUUUUUUUUUUUUUUUUNGGUCGCACCCACUGCAAAUGGAGGUUCCCAGGCUAGGGGUCUAAUCGAAGCUACAGCUGCCAGCCUACACCAGAGCCACAGCAACGCCAGAUCUGAGCCACGUCUGUGACCUAUAGCACAGCUCAUGGCAAUGCCUGAUCCUUAACCCACUGAGUAAGGCCAGGAAUCGAACUCAAAACCUCGUGGUUCCUAGUUGGAUUCCUUUCUGCUGCGCCACAACGGGAACUCCCAGAAUAUGUUUAAAAAAAAAAAAAAAAGCAGGACCCCAGACAGGUGUGUAACUGUUUGAAUGGGCUAUCUCUUAUACAACUAGGAAUAAGACCUACUUGGAAGAAGUUUUGCUCUAGAAACUGUUGAUGCUCUUGACUUAUUGAGGGGAGUUCCAUAAAAUGGCCAUUACCAACUGUAUAAGACAAAACUCGUGUUAGCUCGAAGGUUAGUCCCUGUUUUAAAAUCCCAAAAAAGAUAAACCCUAUUAUGGGCCAUUUCCACUUUCCCCACUGCUUCCCUGACAAGAGGUAAUGUGGGUCUGAGGAGGAAACUGAAGAUUCAUGGCCCAAAUAGAGCAGAAGUCUUGUCUUGUGUAACUGCCCAAAUGCUAAUACAAACUCAUUGUUGCUCAAUUUGUUCUUUAAAAGCUGUGCUUUAUUCUAUUAACUUUGAUUUGCCCUCUUAGCUUCUGUCAUUUUUCCAUACUGGACUGUCCUGGCAAUCCUCCUCACCUUUCUGUCUGGGUUUCAGUCUCUGACAGGGGCUCUGUGCCUAGGUCUCCCUGCCAGGAUCCAUCUGGCCCAUCGGUAACUAACAGUCAUCUUAGCCUUGUCCAGUGGUGAUAGCUUCACCCGUAGAUUUAACUGAGACAAAACUGAACAACUUACCAUAAAUAUCGGAGUCAAGAAAAAAUUAUUAGGAGACUAGGCGUACAUAAGUUUAGAUAAAAACAGAGAAGGCAGGACGACAGUGUGGUCCAAGUAAUUUUCUCUGUGCAAAGAUGCCUUCUAUUUAGUAUAACUAAACACAUUACUUCUGGGGAAAAAAAAAAACAACAACAAAAAUUCACACUCCAAAAAAGGGAGAAAAACUAGUAUUGAGAGCAAUUAUGAGUAUGACUUAAAAUGUCACUUUUCAUCUGUUGUACAGGAGAGUAAAUAUCAUGAAAACUUAACCAUGAUAAGGAAAAAAAAACACUUAACCAUGAUGAAAUAUUUGUCAAACAGUAUUUGUUCCUAUAUUAAGAAAUUAAUACCCACAUGCACAACUUUGAGUUGAUAGAAACUAAAAACUUAAGGUAAUAGAAUUAAGGAUUUCAUUUUCCUUUUUAGAGUUUUAUAUAUUUUUCAAAUUUUUUGGAAAGGCGUUUUGGAAAUAGAAAAAAAAAAAAGGUCUAAAGCUAAAAACUCUUUAACGUAAUUUUUCUUACUGAAUAGUUAUUAUCCUGUUCAUGAGACAUGACCAUAAUAACUCAAAGCCACUAUUUUUUUUUUUUUAAAUUUGGUUGAACCUGCAGCAUGCAGAAAUUCCCAGGCCAGGGACUGAACCCAUGCCACUGUAGCAACCACAACCACUGCAGUGACAACAUUGGAUGCUUAAACCACUGAGCCAUAUGGGAACUCCUCAAAGUUACUAUUGACUUCAUCAGGAUGAGGCUAGCUAUGUGCUUAAGUAAUAAUUGAAGUAAGGAUGAGAAAUAAAUUUUACGGAAAGUAAGAAUAAUACUAUGCCUUAUCUAUAAGAUCCCAAACCAGAAUAUAUUUGAAAAUAUUUGAGUGACUGACUUUUUUUUUUUUUACUUUUCGUCUUCAUUAGUGAUACUAUGCAGCUAUCUAUAGUUUGGUAUCUCUAACCACCAGAUAACAGUUGUGAUGACCAAAAAUGCCUCUAGACACUGCCAAAUGUCCUCUGGGGUAGGAGAGAAAUCACCCCUGGUUG